UUCAGCUUGAUGGUCAGAAAAUUUAAACAGCAGCCAAUUGAUAUAGGCCAAAGAGAUAUGGUAUCCAAAGAGAUUUUGGUUUUUCCUGGAGGCCAAAUGGAGACCAGGUGCUUUACCUUAAUGUGAGUGACAACAUGCCUUCUGCUCAGUGAAUACUCAGCCAGGAAUGACUGGUAGCUUGCUUCACUUAUACAACUGAUGGGCUUUGUAAAUUAUCUUCACGCUGAAUUUGUGUAAUGUAAGUAUAAGUUUCCCAAUGACUUUCACUAUGAUUUCAGAUUGAGUUUAUAUUGUUUUACAUUACUGAGGGAUGACACUAGGCUUAUUUUUUUGUCUUUUUCAAUAAUUGAUUGCAUAACCUGGAGCAAAAUGUCACCUUCCUUGAGAAAGUAUGUACUCAAGAG
Molecule: long non-coding RNA, 404 nt
Filed under: Mustela putorius furo (domestic ferret)
Lineage: Eukaryota; Metazoa; Chordata; Mammalia; Carnivora; Mustelidae
Description: lncRNA (ENSMPUG00000028180.1)
Source: RNAcentral